AUGGAGGCUUCGGAUGGAUCCUCAUCGACGACCAGCUGGACCGGUAAGAACUUGGAGCAUAUGCUGCAGCACCUUGAUUUGAAGGAGGAGGAGCUGGAUGACAUGGUCAUGUUCUGCUUGGGAGAUUGGAAGAAGGUCGUUCAUGGUGGCCAAUGGCUGUUCAAGGGGAUGGGUCUUCUGAUUAAGGACUAUGAUGGCAAGAUAGACUCGGAAUUGGUGGUCUUUGAUGGUCUGUACGUCUGGGCUCAAAUCCACAACAUCCCUGAUCUAUACCGCAAUGCAGAAAUUGUGGAUCAACUUGCUCGCCGAAUUGGCAGAAUGAAGGGGAUUUUACUCGCUCCAAAGCUUUACUAUGAGGGUGACUACGUCAGAGUUCGUGCAAGGGUUUUGGUGAAUAAGCCCCUUACCAGAGUUAUGUCACUGAAUGUCAUGGGUGAGGGGCAUCGUUUACUCCCAGUCAAAUAUGAGAAGAUGCCUUACUUUUGUCAGGUAUGUGGAUUCAUGGGGCACAAUCAUGAAGAAUGUGGCGAUGGUGUGUGGGAACCAAAACAAUGGCAGUUUGGAAGUUGGAUGCUGGCCCAACGCAAGGAAUUGGCCCCUGAAAAACAACAGUUUGGACGUACUGCUCGAGGGGGCUGGUCCCGGGGGCGAGGUAGAUAUGGGGCUGGCCGUGGCAGAGCUCCACCAAGGGAACAGGAAGCCCCAUGCAAGAGGUCAUCAUAG
RNAcentral lists this ribosomal RNA (723 nucleotides) under Triticum aestivum (bread wheat). RNAcentral's name for it is "partial small subunit ribosomal RNA". Lineage: Eukaryota; Viridiplantae; Streptophyta; Magnoliopsida; Poales; Poaceae. The record is from RNAcentral.